Molecule: ribosomal RNA, 952 nt
Filed under: uncultured bacterium
Lineage: Bacteria
Description: bacterial SSU rRNA
Rfam family: Bacterial small subunit ribosomal RNA
Source: RNAcentral
UUCGCCCUUGGAUUCCAGACUUUGAUUAUGGCUCAGGACGAACGCUGGCGGCGUGCCUAAUACAUGCAAGUCGAACGCUUCUUUUUCCACCGGAGCUUGCUCCACCGGAAAAAGAGGAGUGGGCGAACGGGUGAGUAACACGUGGGUAACCUGCCCAUCAGAAGGGGAUAACACUUGGAAACAGGUGCUAAUACCGUAUAACAAUCAAAACCGCAUGGUUUUGAUUUGAAAGGCGCUUUCGGGUGUCGCUGAUGGAUGGACCCGCGGUGCAUUAGCUAGUUGGUGAGGUAACGGCUCACCAAGGCCACGAUGCAUAGCCGACCUGAGAGGGUGAUCGGCCACAUUGGGACUGAGACACGGCCCAAACUCCUACGGGAGGCAGCAGUAGGGAAUCUUCGGCAAUGGACGAAAGUCUGACCGAGCAACGCCGCGUGAGUGAAGAAGGUUUUCGGAUCGUAAAACUCUGUUGUUAGAGAAGAACAAGGAUGAGAGUAACUGUUCAUCCCUUGACGGUAUCUAACCAGAAAGCCACGGCUAACUACGUGCCAGCAGCCGCGGUAAUACGUAGGUGGCAAGCGUUGUCCGGAUUUAUUGGGCGUAAAGCGAGCGCAGGCGGUUUCUUAAGUCUGAUGUGAAAGCCCCCGGCUCAACCGGGGAGGGUCAUUGGAAACUGGGAGACUUGAGUGCAGAAGAGGAGAGUGGAAUUCCAUGUGUAGCGGUGAAAUGCGUAGAUAUAUGGAGGAACCACCAGUGGCGAAGGCGGCUCUCUGGUCUGUAACUGACGCUGAGGCUCGAAAGCGUGGGGAGCAAACAGGAUUAGAUACCCUGGUAGUCCACCGCCGUAAACGAUGAGUGCUAAGUGUUGGAGGGUUUCCCCCCUUCAGGGCUGCAGCUAACGCAUUAAGCACUCCGCCUUGGGGAGUACGACCGCAGGUUGCACCUCAAAUGAAUU